This is a long non-coding RNA of Ictalurus furcatus (blue catfish), 1461 nucleotides long. RefSeq lists it as uncharacterized. The transcript is spliced from 3 exons. The record is from RefSeq and is a predicted model, not a curated record. NCBI's taxonomy places the organism in Eukaryota, Metazoa, Chordata, Actinopteri, Siluriformes, Ictaluridae.
CGUGCAGAGGAACUUGUACAGUGGACAAACGCAAUUCUUAAAAACAAAUGUGUGUUUGUUUUUUUGUUUGUUUGUUUGUUUAACAAAUAGUUUUCUGUAUAGAGACGUUUAUGCAGCUUUUAUGGAAGGAGUCUCCAGUAUCAGCUGUCUGUAAAUGCCGGGAAGUUUUCCGACACGGGAAUUCUUCAGGGUGGAGGAGUUUGACGGUUUCUCGGAGAGUGCAGUUUUUAGCUCUGGUGGAGCACACCAGCAGACAUAGCGUGACAUCUGUGCGGUGUGUUUGGGGAGACACCCUGCUCUAGUGCUCACCUCCCCAAGGUCUGGAAGAUCUAUUGUUUGGAUUUCUCUCCCCACUUCCCGGACCAUCAUCCUCUAUCACUUUCUAGAGAGACAGAGACAGAGUCUGGAGCCAGCGGUGCUAUUGUGCGUCCUGGCUGGGGACCAAGGUCAGGCGUGCAACUGCCUGCCAACAGUCUUCGACGAACACAACACAACACACAUGAUGAACACUCACUCGGUCUUUUAGGCCCACGAUAAUAGAGUAUGUGAUGGACUUGCCUUAGUGGUCUGUAGGGCCAAUGUCAACGGACAAUGCGAAACCUGACACCUCUGAACUGAAGCGGCUCACUUUGUCUGCCAUUGUGCACGCUGCACAAACAAUGUACAAUAGGGUUCUGCCUUGCAAAUUUGCCUUAGGAUUGAAAAACAGAUGUGGCCCUAAGUCAACUGAUAUCAAUACUGAGGUAGUAGAUAUACUGUUAGAAUAGAAUUCCUGUUUUUGUCAGUUUUAUAUGUACUAAUGUACUCGAUUAGCCUGUCGUUUCCCAUUUGUCUCCCCAAUUUGGUCAUCAAGUCCCCCCCUCCUCAUCGUAUGACUGCCACCAGCUGUGGGCGGUGAAGUGCUUCCUCUGAGACAUGUCCUGCUGCGUAUUUUUUCAAGCUGUUUCAUCAAAGGGCAGUGUGAGGCACUUGGAGGAAAGCGCAUUCUGCCCUCUUACACGCAUAUAUGAGCUCGUGGACGGCCCGGGAUUGGCUAGUGAGGAUGGUGAUAGAGUAUGGCAUCCCUCCAGCCCUGAGAGCACAGCCAAUUUUGUUCUCUUGGCUCAAAUCCUAGCCGUGAAUGGCUGUGGCAUCAUCAGGAUUCGAUUCGACGAGAGGGCGAACGCUUUUCUGUUUUUUUUUUUCUGUCUACCAAACAAAAUUAAACCACCACGACCCUGAGCAGGCAGUUACUAAGGAUGAACGAAUGAAUGCCGUGAAUGAAUUCUUAUCCAAUGUGCUUCAUAUCUGACUGCAUGCCCACAUGAAAAUAAAAACCUGUAUCUGUAUUUGUUUAGAAAACAUUAUAUGCUCAGUCUGAUUAAUGCAUCAAUGGAUUCACCAUUACAUCCCGUGUGUGUUUCCUAAACCUGAACCAAACAGUAGAAUGCAUUAUUUAAUAAACAUGUUUUCUGGCCAACA